RNAcentral lists this ribosomal RNA (253 nucleotides) under uncultured bacterium. RNAcentral's name for it is "partial 16S ribosomal RNA". It matches the Rfam family "Bacterial small subunit ribosomal RNA", at positions 524 to 776 of the family's 1533-position model. The record is from RNAcentral.
UACAGAGGUCUCAAGCGUUGUUCGGAUUCAUUGGGCGUAAAGGGUGCGUAGGUGGUGUCGUAAGUCGGGUGUGAAAUCUCGGAGCUUAACUCCGAAACUGCAUUCGAUACUGCGGUGCUUGAGGACUGGAGAGGAGACUGGAAUUCAUGGUGUAGCAGUGAAAUGCGUAGAGAUCAUGAGGAAGACCAGUGGCGAAGGCGGGUCUCUGGACAGUUCCUGACACUGAGACACGAAGGCCAGGGGAGCAAACGGG